GAUGAAGAACGCAGCGAAAUGCGAUAAGUAAUGUGAAUUGCAGAAUUCAGUGAAUCAUCGAAUCUUUGAACGCACAUUGCGCCCCCUGGUAUUCCGGGGGGCAUGCCUGUCCGAGCGUCAUUACAACCCUCAAGCUCAGCUUGGUGUUGGGCCCCGCCGCCCCGGCGGGCCCUAAAGUCAGUGGCGGUGCCGUCCGGCUCCGAGCGUAGUAAUUCUUCUCGCUCUGGAGGUCCGGUCGUGUGCUCGCCAGCAACCCCCAAUUUUUUUCAGGUUGACCUCGGAUCAGGUGGGGAUACCCGCUGAACUUAAGCAUAUCAAUAAGCGGAGGA
Molecule: unclassified non-coding RNA, 329 nt
Filed under: soil metagenome
Description: partial contains 5.8S ribosomal RNA, internal transcribed spacer 2, and large subunit ribosomal RNA
Rfam family: 5.8S ribosomal RNA (bases 1-120)
Source: RNAcentral